UACGUAGGGUGCAAGCGUUGUCCGGAAUUAUUGGGCGUAAAGAGCUCGUAGGCGGUUUGUCGCGUCUGCUGUGAAAACUCGGGGCUUAACCCCGGGCCUGCAGUAGGUACGGGCAGACUAGAGUGCGGUAGGGGAGACUGGAAUUCCUGGUGUAGCGGUGAAAUGCGCAGAUAUCAGGAGGAACACCGAUGGCGAAGGCAGGUCUCUGGGCAUUAACUGACGCUGAGGAGCGAAAGCAUGGGGAGCGAACAGG
RNAcentral lists this ribosomal RNA (253 nucleotides) under uncultured bacterium. RNAcentral's name for it is "partial 16S ribosomal RNA". It matches the Rfam family "Bacterial small subunit ribosomal RNA", at positions 524 to 776 of the family's 1533-position model. The record is from RNAcentral.